AAAGCUUUAUUGUGGUUUUGGAUGGACUCGCGGCCUAUCAGCUUGUUGGUGAGGUAAUGGCUUACCAAGGCGACGACGGGUAGCCGGCCUGAGAGGGUGACCGGCCACACUGGGACUGAGACACGGCCCAGACUCCUACGGGAGGCAGCAGUGGGGAAUAUUGCACAAUGGGCGCAAGCCUGAUGCAGCGACGCCGCGUGAGGGAUGACGGCCUUCGGGUUGUAAACCUCUUUCAGUAGGGAAGAAGCGAAAGUGACGGUACCUGCAGAAGAAGCGCCGGCUAACUACGUGCCAGCAGCCGCGGUAAUACGUAGGGCGCAAGCGUUAUCCGGAAUUAUUGGGCGUAAAGAGCUCGUAGGCGGUUUGUCGCGUCUGCCGUGAAAGUCCGGGGCUCAACUCCGGAUCUGCGGUGGGUACGGGCAGACUAGAGUGAUGUAGGGGAGACUGGAAUUCCUGGUGUAGCGGUGAAUGCGCAGAUAUCAGGAGGACACCGAUGGCGAAGGCAGGUCUCUGGGCAUU
Molecule: ribosomal RNA, 519 nt
Filed under: uncultured Actinomycetes bacterium
Lineage: Bacteria; Bacillati; Actinomycetota; Actinomycetes
Description: bacterial SSU rRNA
Rfam family: Bacterial small subunit ribosomal RNA
Source: RNAcentral